AGAGGGCGAGGGGUGCAUGUGCGUCCGCUUCUCACCUCAGGUCUCCCUUCGGCCCCGCUGCCCUCCCUCGCGGCUGGGUGACAGCUGGGUCCGGUCCGUCGCGGGCUGCCUGGGGUGCGAGGAUCGCGCACCCCGUCUUCGCGCGCGGUGCCUGCCGCCCCGCCCCCUCGUCCCGCCCGUCCCGUCGCGUCCCGUCCCCUCGGGUGCUGCCAGCCGGGUGCUGAUGCGGGUCGGUGGCAGCGAGGACAUUUUCUGACUCCCUGGCCCCUGACACGGCUGCACUUUCCAUCCCGUCGCGGGGCCGGCCGCUACUCCGGCCCCAGGAUGCAGAAUGUGAUUAAUACUGUGAAGGGAAAGGCACUGGAAGUGGCUGAGUACCUGACCCCGGUCCUCAAGGAAUCAAAGUUUAAGGAAACGGGUGUAAUUACCCCAGAAGAGGUGAGUGCUGAAGAUAUACUGAAGUCUUUUUAUUUUACAAUAAUACUAAACUAGGUGGCUUUUCUGCUUCAUAAGAAAACAUCUUGAACUUUAAUUUUGAUUUGAGUAAAAUUAGGUUUUAUGACUGUGAUUUAUGGGAAUUUCUACUUCCCAUAGAAGAAAAGAUGUAACUUCCCCGUCAGUUUGCCACUUCUCAUAUUUCUCUGUAGUUCCUCUUUAUUUAGAAAUGAGGGUGAAA
This 676-nucleotide small RNA is filed under the name Pan troglodytes (chimpanzee). RNAcentral's name for it is "retained intron". Lineage: Eukaryota; Metazoa; Chordata; Mammalia; Primates; Hominidae. The record is from RNAcentral.